Mytilus californianus (California mussel) is the source of this 650-nucleotide long non-coding RNA. RefSeq lists it as uncharacterized. NCBI's taxonomy places the organism in Eukaryota, Metazoa, Mollusca, Bivalvia, Mytilida, Mytilidae. The transcript is spliced from 2 exons. The record is from RefSeq and is a predicted model, not a curated record.
UGGUUAAUUGUUAUCAUUCAUCAAAUCUACACACAUUGGUCUACACGAGUAUGAAGUCUAUUCUCUAUUCUGUCGUUCUCUUAAUUUCCUUUUAUUGCACUCAAGGUCGCAGCUAUGGCUACCACAAGAAGACGAAAAAAGUUUCAGUUGUGUUACCUAGCAUCAAAACUCCACUCUGUAACGUCGGAUGUACAAGACAAUUUAUAUCUCUAGAAUGUAGACAGGAAACAUUUGGAUUUGAGAAUGGUGUGAGAUGUAAAGGAUGCGACAUUGAUAUUUGCAGAGGCAAGGGAGAUAAUUUCAACAGAUGGCAGGAUAACGAAAGAAGGGAAAAUGGUGGGCGCUGGAGAAACCGUGAUCAAGGAAUCGAUGUUGGAUUCAUUGAUAACAUUCAAAAUGACUUUUUAAAUCAAGAACAAAGGUUAAAUCAAGGUGAUUGGUCAAGAAAUAGAUUCGAUACUAGAAUAAACAGACAAUUCAGAAAUGAAUGGAAUUUGUAAUCGGAAUUUAGUUUUGGAAAAUACGUUGUCAGCUAUUGUGUUAUAAUUAGUCAUGAAAUCCACGUUAUAUAAGUGAUAAAUAUGUCAAUAUUAUAAUAAUAUUAUUUGUUUUAUAUUUUUGCAAAUAAAAUAAUGUUUUUAUCAAAUAUA